AGAAUCAACGCUGGCGGCGUGCCUAACACAUGCAAGUCGAACGAGAAAGUGGUAGCAAUACCAUGAGUAAAGUGGCGCACGGGUGAGUAACACGUGACUAACCUACCCUUGAGUGGGGGAUAACUGAGGGAAACCUUAGCUAAUACCGCAUAAUACCCACGGGUCAAAGGAGCAAUUCGCUCGAGGAGGGGGUCGCGGCCGAUUAGUUAGUUGGCGGGGUAAUGGCCCACCAAGACGAUGAUCGGUAUCCGGCCUGAGAGGGCGCACGGACACACUGGAACUGAAACACGGUCCAGACUCCUACGGGAGGCAGCAGUGGGGAAUUUUGCGCAAUGGGGGAAACCCUGACGCAGCAACGCCGCGUGGAGGAUGAAGUCCUUCGGGACGUAAACUCCUUUCGAUCGGGACGAUUAUGACGGUACCGGAAGAAGAAGCCCCGGCUAACUUCGUGCCAGCAGCCGC
Molecule: ribosomal RNA, 462 nt
Filed under: uncultured bacterium
Lineage: Bacteria
Description: SSU rRNA
Rfam family: Bacterial small subunit ribosomal RNA
Source: RNAcentral